Molecule: ribosomal RNA, 253 nt
Filed under: uncultured bacterium
Lineage: Bacteria
Description: partial 16S ribosomal RNA
Rfam family: Bacterial small subunit ribosomal RNA
Source: RNAcentral
UACGUAGGGGGCAAGCGUUGUCCGGAUUUAUUGGGCGUAAAGAGCGUGUAGGCGGCCACACAGGUCUGCUGUGAAAUCUCGGGGCUCAACCCCGAGCGGUCGUGAGAAACUGGCAGGCUAGAGUGCGGGAGAGGAGAGUGGAAUUCCUGGUGUAGCGGUGAAAUGCGCAGAUAUCAGGAGGAACACCGGUGGCGAAGGCGGUUCUCUGGGCCUGUACUGACGCUGAGGAGCGAAAGCGUGGGGAGCGAACAGG